RNAcentral lists this ribosomal RNA (998 nucleotides) under uncultured bacterium. RNAcentral's name for it is "bacterial SSU rRNA". It matches the Rfam family "Bacterial small subunit ribosomal RNA", at positions 356 to 1376 of the family's 1533-position model. The record is from RNAcentral.
GGGGAAUAUUGCACAAUGGAGGAAACUCUGAUGCAGCGAUGCCGCGUGAGGGAAGAAGGUUUUCGGAUUGUAAACCUCUAUGUACAGGGACGAUAAUGACGGUACCUGUUCAGAAAGCUCCGGCUAACUACGUGCCAGCAGCCGCGGUAAUACGUAGGGAGCGAGCGUUGUCCGGAAUUACUGGGUGUAAAGGGAGUGUAGGCGGGACGGCAAGUCAGAUGUGAAAUUUAGGGGCUCAACCCCUGACCUGCAUUUGAAACUGCUGUUCUUGAGUGAAGUAGAGGUAAGCGGAAUUCCUAGUGUAGCGGUUAAAUGCGUAGAUAUUAGGAGGAACAUCAGUGGCGAAGGCGGCUUACUGGGCUUUAACUGACGCUGAGGCUCGAAAGCGUGGGGAGCAAACAGGAUUAGAUACCCUGGUAGUCCACGCCGUAAACGAUGAUUACUAGGUGUGGGGGGACUGACCCCUUCCGUGCCGCAGUUAACACAAUAAGUAAUCCACCUGGGGAGUACGGUCGCAAGACUGAAACUCAAAGGAAUUGACGGGGGCCCGCACAAGCAGUGGAGUAUGUGGAUUAAUUCGAAGCAACGCGAAGAACCUUACCAGGUCUUGACAUCGAUCAAAUCCGAAAGAGAUUUUGGAGUGCCCUUCGGGGAACGUGAAGACAGGUGGUGCAUGGUUGUCGUCAGCUCGUGUCGUGAGAUGUUGGGUUAAGUCCCGCAACGAGCGCAACCCUUAUGUUUAGUUGCUACGCAAGAGCACUCUAGACAGACUGCCGUUGACAAAACGGAGGAAGGUGGGGAUGACGUCAAAUCAUCAUGCCCCUUAUGACCUGGGCCUCACACGUACUACAAUGGCUGUAAACAGAGGGAAGCUAAGCAGUGAUGUGGAGCAAAUCCCCAAAAGCAGUCUUAGUUCGGAUUGUAGGCUGCAACCCGCCUACAUGAAGUCGGAAUUGCUAGUAAUCGCGGAUCAGCAUGCCGCGGUGAAUACGUUCCCG